UUAGGAGCUGAAGUCUGUCUCCCCCAAAAGAUGUUGAAGUCUUAACCCUCAGUACCUGGGAACGUGACCUUAUUUGGAAAUAGAAUCUUUGUAGAUGAUCAAGUUAAGAUGAGGUCAGCCGGAUGGGCCCUAGGCCAAUAUGACUGUGUCCUUAUAAAGAGGGGAAAUCUGGACACAGAGACAGACACAGAGAGAACACCAUGUGAAGAGAAAGGCAGAGGAUGGGCUGAGAGGUCUACAGGCCAAGGAACGCCAAAUAUUGCCAGAAAACCACCAGAAACUAGGAGAGAGGCAUGGAACAGAUUCUUCCUCACACCCUCAGAAGGAACAAAUUCUGCCAAUACCUUGAUCUUGGACUUCCAGCCUCCAAAACUGUAUGGAAACUGAGGCCUGUAGAGAUCGAAUCACUUGUCCAAGGUCAAGUUAAAUUAGAGCUGCUCUGACUCUCUGUGUUCCAAACCCAUGGAUCUCAUGAAUUGGUAACUUUAAAUUUUAGGGAUUGAUACAGAAUUGCCAACUCGUAUGACAGAUAAGAAUGUAAUUUCUAAGACCCAUCAUUCAUAUAUGCAUUUGUUCAAUAAAUAUUUAUUGAUCUCUACUAUGCCCCACACAGUGUCUUAGGGGCUGGGGGCACAGCAAUGAACAAAACCA
Long non-coding RNA from Felis catus (domestic cat), 651 nucleotides. RefSeq lists it as uncharacterized. The record is from RefSeq and is a predicted model, not a curated record. The transcript is spliced from 2 exons. Lineage: Eukaryota; Metazoa; Chordata; Mammalia; Carnivora; Felidae.